Molecule: long non-coding RNA, 803 nt
Organism: Daphnia carinata
Lineage: Eukaryota; Metazoa; Arthropoda; Branchiopoda; Diplostraca; Daphniidae
Exons: 3
Source: RefSeq, a predicted model, not a curated record
AAAAUCUACAAAUGAAGCAGAGUUUAUCAACAAUCCAUUGUAAACAAGACCACAAAGUGAAAAUGUCGUCAGGAGAAGUGUGCAAGAUGCGCGGAUUGAUGUACGGAAUGAAAAAAGACUUGGCGCGCCAAGUUCGAACGAAAAAUCCGGAUUUUCAGCUUACAAAUUUUUUUUUGCCGAGAAGCUUAUCCAGCAAGUAAAAAAAAAAAAGAAAAUACGAAAAAUGAGGUCAUUCACGAAAAAGCCAACAGCAGCACCCGCUCGACGAGAACAAAAAAAGAAAGAGACCAAAGGUCUCGAGUUAUAACCCUCUUGAUGAUAAAUUUUUAACACGACUGCGCAAAUUGCGCCACCCUUUCCGACCUUCCGGUAGUUUCACUCUUUGACGAUCCGUCAUCCCCACCAACAGCUACAACAUAAUUUUGUGUUUCUCCUUUGACUUCUUCCGUGUCUUCCUUUUUUUUUUUUUUAUUCAACUGUCACAGCAAUGAUAACCAUAUGUUAUGAAUUAUAUUGUAUAUAUAUCGAACCCGAUGGAGAGCAACCGACAUGAGCGCCCUAAUUUUUUACGAGUUAGAAAGUUUCUCUUCCUCGUUGUUGCCCUGUUGUCAACCCAUAUAGACACACAUGGCCCAAAUAUGGUUAUCGGCCAGCCAACUGCUCGGAUGGAUGAAUGAAAAACCGUUGGACAUCAAACACACAAUUUUGGAAAACCAAAAAUAAAUCAAACAGGUACCAAACAAUGUUUUUUCUUCUUUCUUUGUAAACGAAAAAAAAUUAUUUUUUUUUUAUUUCGAAAAAAA